Molecule: ribosomal RNA, 253 nt
Filed under: uncultured bacterium
Lineage: Bacteria
Description: partial 16S ribosomal RNA
Rfam family: Bacterial small subunit ribosomal RNA
Source: RNAcentral
UACGUAGGGGGCUAGCGUUGUCCGGAAUCAUUGGGCGUAAAGAGCGCGUAGCCGGCCAGAUAAGUCCGGUGUGAAAGUCAAAGGCUCAACCUUUGAAGGCCGCUGGAAACUGUCUGGCUAGAGUCCGGAAGGGGCGAGUGGAAUUCCUGGUGUAGCGGUGAAAUGCGCAGAUAUCAGGAGGAACACCAAUGGCGAAGGCAGCUCGCUGGAACGGUACUGACGCUGUGGCGCGAAAGCGUGGGGAGCGAACAGG